GACGAACGCUGGCGGCGUGCUUAACACAUGCAAGUCGAGCGAGGCCCUUCCUUCGGGAAGGUGUCCUAGCGGCGAACGGGUGAGUAACACGUGGGCAACCUGCCCUCAGCUCUGGGAUAACCCCGGGAACCGGGGCUAAUACCGGAUACGACCUCCACGGGCAUCUGCGGAGGUGGAAAGGUCUUCCGGCUGAGGAUGGGCCCGCGGCCUAUCAGCUAGUUGGUGGGGUGACGGCCCACCAAGGCGACGACGGGUAGCCGGCCUGAGAGGGCGACCGGCCACACUGGGACUGAGACACGGCCCAGACUCCUACGGGAGGCAGCAGUGGGGAAUAUUGCGCAAUGGGCGAAAGCCUGACGCAGCGACGCCGCGUGAGGGACGAAGGCCUGCGGGUUGUAAAGCCCUUUCAGUGGGGGAAGAAAAGCCUCGACCUAACACGUCGGGGUCUUGACGUAACCCAUAGAAGAAGCACCGGCUAACUCUGUGCCAGCAGCCGC
This 497-nucleotide ribosomal RNA is filed under the name uncultured bacterium. RNAcentral's name for it is "bacterial SSU rRNA". It matches the Rfam family "Bacterial small subunit ribosomal RNA", at positions 28 to 518 of the family's 1533-position model. The record is from RNAcentral.